Molecule: transfer RNA, 72 nt
Filed under: Cleptes metallicorpus
Lineage: Eukaryota; Metazoa; Arthropoda; Insecta; Hymenoptera; Chrysididae
Description: tRNA-Phe
Source: RNAcentral
AUUUAAGUAGCUUAAAUUUUAAAGCAUAAUGUUGAAAAUAUUAAUAUAAUUAACUAAUUUAAUUCUUAAAUA